RNAcentral lists this ribosomal RNA (247 nucleotides) under uncultured Gardnerella sp. Its description in RNAcentral is "partial 16S ribosomal RNA". It matches the Rfam family "Bacterial small subunit ribosomal RNA", at positions 109 to 355 of the family's 1533-position model. The record is from RNAcentral. Lineage: Bacteria; Bacillati; Actinomycetota; Actinomycetes; Bifidobacteriales; Bifidobacteriaceae.
AGUAAUGCGUGACCAACCUCGCCCCAUGCUCCAGAAUAGCUCUUGGAAACGGGUGGUAAUGCUGGAUGCUCCAACUUGACGCAUGUCUUGUUGGGAAAGUGUUUAGUGGCAUGGGGUGGGGUCGCGUCCUAUCAGCUUGUAGGCGGGGUAAUGGCCCACCUAGGCUUCGACGGGUAGCCGGCCUGAGAGGGCGGACGGCCACAUUGGGACUGAGAUACGGCCCAGACUCCUACGGGAGGCAGCAGUC